GGAGUCUUAUCACCCAGGCUGGAGUGCAGUUGCGCAAUCUCAGCUCACUGCAGCCUCUGUCUCCCGGGUUCAAGCAAUCCUCCCAGAAUGGAAGAGCAAUCUAUUUGCUCCUACUUGGAAAAGAUUCUUUCUAAAAAUAUGGAACUGAUGGAAAAGAAACUUAUGGAUUACAUUGAUCAGCGAAUACAUGAACUCCAGGAGCACAUUGAUGAUAAGAUUGCUUUGUUACUGGAUUUGCUGCAAAAUCCUAACUCCCCGCCCACUGGGAUACCUCUAAGACAUUAUGACUCUGGAGAAAGACUUUCAAAUGGAGAAAGAUAAGCUCUCAACAUAAACAGU
RNAcentral lists this long non-coding RNA (339 nucleotides) under Homo sapiens (human). Its description in RNAcentral is "non-protein coding lnc-IKZF5-2:3". The record is from RNAcentral. Lineage: Eukaryota; Metazoa; Chordata; Mammalia; Primates; Hominidae.